GUCCCCGUAGUUCAACGGAUAGAAUACAAGCUUGCGGAGCUUGUGAUAGAGGUUCGAUUCCUCUCGGGGACACCA
Molecule: transfer RNA, 75 nt
Filed under: Candidatus Sungbacteria bacterium RIFCSPHIGHO2_02_FULL_46_12
Lineage: Bacteria; Candidatus Sungiibacteriota
Description: tRNA-Arg
Rfam family: tRNA
About the family: Transfer RNA (tRNA) molecules are approximately 80 nucleotides in length. Their secondary structure includes four short double-helical elements and three loops (D, anti-codon, and T loops). Further hydrogen bonds mediate the characteristic L-shaped molecular structure. tRNAs have two regions of fundamental functional importance: the anti-codon, which is responsible for specific mRNA codon recognition, and the 3' end, to which the tRNAs corresponding amino acid is attached (by aminoacyl-tRNA synthetases). tRNAs cope with the degeneracy of the genetic code in two manners: having more than one tRNA (with a specific anti-codon) for a particular amino acid; and 'wobble' base-pairing, i.e. permitting non-standard base-pairing at the 3rd anti-codon position.
Source: RNAcentral